This is a long non-coding RNA of Oryctolagus cuniculus (rabbit), 2333 nucleotides long. NCBI's taxonomy places the organism in Eukaryota, Metazoa, Chordata, Mammalia, Lagomorpha, Leporidae. The record is from Ensembl.
GCUUCUCCCUCUCCUCGCCCCUGUUCCAGUAUUAAUAUUCCGAGGAUCAGAGGGCAUCGCUUUGAAGAAACACCAAACUAUCUGCCUUCCCAGGGGGCUUUGGAGCCUGUGUGAUCCCGUCCAUCAGGAAAGCAAAGGAGCGCCUGGGCCCUGCCCACCUCGAUGGCCCAUGUCCCCGACAGGACUCGGAGCCCGCACAGGAAGCAGAGCUGCCGUCUGGGCCGGGAGUAGCGCGGCUCCGGGGAGAAGCUGGCCGAAGACCACCCAUCAGUGAUGGCUUCUCCCUCUGCACAGGGCCAGUGACACUGGGGGUGUCGGGGCUGACCAGACCAUCCGAGAGCCACCGGGACUGACGAUACACGGAAAAGGCCAAUCAACUGGCACCCAAGAAACACCAAGCAGAAGCACGCCACAUCUGUGAGGCGAGUCUACACACCCACACCCACACCGGGCCCAGCAGCCCCGACACAGGCCGGGAACCCAGGGCUCUAAGCCGUCCUACCUGUCUGCGGCGCUGGCUGACUGCACAGGUGGGCGCGUUCCCAUUGGCUUCCUAGCAAAGGGAGGAGACCCGGGCGCCAGGAGGAGCCAGCUGCUCCAGAACGCAGCCACAGGUGAGGACUGGACGCGGUGGGAGGCUGGCCCGGCAAGCCGCAGAGCCCCCGGAAGCCCUCAAGUGAGCGCUGCCCUCAGCAGCGGCCGUGCGCAUGGGGAACGCACCUGGGGCGCUCGCCUGCCCUCCCCAGGCUCGGCGUGUGCUGCAGGUGGUCGCCACCCCCUAGGGAGGGUGUGGGAGGUGCCGGUGGGCCGUCUCUCCUCAGCUUGGUCUUUGAAGCCCCCAGGGAGCUUUUCUUCCUGUCCCCUGCUCUUGGGGUGCAGGGGCACUGUGCAGGCCCUGGUCCCCUGCUUUGCUGCUGCUGUGCGGCUCCGGCCUUGUGCCCGGUCCCGGGCUCUGCAGGACUUCCUCCAGACUGUGCUGUCCUCAGCGGGCAGGCCGAGGGCUGCAGGGGUUCUGGACGCUGGUGACGAGUGUCGGUCCGGAGCACCUUGGCUUACAGGGUCAGAGGUGAGGGCAGGGCCUGAGCCGCAGCCCGGGAGCUCGGUAACCCCAGAAAUGCUGGUGUUGCUCCUCUCUGCUUGGACUUGCCACGCCGCCUGUCACACCUGCACCUGCACGUCUGCUGUCUGUCCUGGCUUCCUCCUCCGGCGGCCCCGCUGUGGUUCUCGCUGCCCGGCCCAGCGCACGUGUGCCGGCUUCUCAUCCUGCUCACUCGUGACCCGAGCUGGGGCCACGCAUCCCCUGCAGGGGCUCUGCAUGGAGGGAACAUGUUAAGCACUCCACACUGGAAACUCGUCCCCGCUCGAGGUCAAGAGCAGUUUGCCGUCCCGGUGUGCACUCCCAGGGCUGCCCGUGAGACCCACGUCCCUGCCCGUGGUGAUAAACAUUCCUGCAAGUCAGGCCUCGUAACCCAACCACAACCCUAACAGCACAGGCUGAACGCCCUGACUGCAUCGUCCCACUCGUGCACGUGCGUCAGAGUAUACCUCAGCCCCCAGGAAGGACAGACGGCACUGGUCAGUUAAGAGGGAGAGCGCCUCUCUAGCUGCCCACACGUGGUCAGGAGUGGCCCUCAGACACACAUGCACCCUGCUGUGCCCCGGGCAGACCCAUGUGAGUGACGCGGGUGUGGGGACUGCCGGAGUCCCCUGCCGCUGUCUGGGCAGGGCUGGGGGGCUGUGGCCGCCUGUGGUGGAACCUGCAGCCUCCACCCCAGCAGGGUCCUGGGGUCCCAGAUGGGGGACACUAGCUGCCAUCAUCCAUGAGCGUUCAAUCAAAUCACUUCUGUUCAAGCCCUGGCCCUGGCCCCCAGGAAACCCAGGCGGCGACCGUGAAGCCCCAACAGGUCACACUUCCCAACACGACAGCCGCUCCCAGUCACCCCCGGAGCCGUGAGCCCAGGCUGUCCUGUGAGAAGUGGGCUCAUGCCGGCUCGGGGGUGAAAACCAGAGCUGAAGGCCGAGUGGUUGCUCGGCCCUGUCCUGGUGCCUGCACCUGCUGUCCACCUGUCCCUCACCUUUGCACGGUGAGCGAGCACCCUAGGCAUACUCUUGCAUUCCCUGCUGCCCCCCGUGGUGGGGCUCUGCCUGGGUGCCCCCUCUUCACCCACAGACUCCUGGCCCAAAGGGCAAACAGAUCCACACUCCGGCUCAUUUCACAUCCCCAGCAGCCGGGCCGGCUCACCUCCCUGUUUCCCUGAGGAGGGCGGAUGCGUGUGGACCUGUCGUGCCCAGCUCUGUACGGCCCGGGUCUGCAGGGGCUAAAGGCGACCCCA